Long non-coding RNA from Alexandromys fortis (reed vole), 6514 nucleotides. RefSeq lists it as uncharacterized. The transcript has 3 exons. The record is from RefSeq and is a predicted model, not a curated record. Lineage: Eukaryota; Metazoa; Chordata; Mammalia; Rodentia; Cricetidae.
AUGUGGCUGGUUUUCCCAUCACCACACAGACUCAGGCUAGAUGGGGAGACCUGCUGGGUUAAGCUUAGAGCACGUGAACCGUAAAGGUGGCCUGGACCUGGGCGACAAGGUUAGAAAGGGCAGAGACUGUGCAUUCUGGAGGUGGUUUGUCCACGGAAGAGAAGAGGCUCACGGAUGAGCUAAGUGUGCCUUUGGCUGCAGCCCUCCCUGCAGUCAGGAAGGCUGGCUGUGUAAGGGUAAAAAGGCAGUCGGGUCUGGUGCGCCCCCUCCCUGCAGCUCUGAGGCAGUGAAUUCCAACAAAGGCUCUGAACAGUGAAGGAGAAGCAGAGUGAGAAAGAUGGGUGACCAAGGCGGCAGGCUUGAGGACUCCGAAAUUGUUCAACAGUUUCGUGGGAGAUUGACACAUUCUAUCCAGAGGGGAAUCCCGGCUUGGGUGGAGGCAGAGAAGAGGGACUGUCCUAAGCUCAUCCUGAAAACAGACUCCUGGGCUGUGCCAAGGGCUCCUGGGGCAUCUGUGGGACUUCAUCAAAGCCACUAGAAGACCUGUGUCCUGCAGCUGGGUGCUGCUCUACAGAGUGGAAGCCAUCAUACUGUGGCGUGGCCACAGGAAGGAUGCCUUGCAGACUCUUUCAUGAAGGAGAAACCUUGAAGGACUGUCUCACCUUCGUUAGGCAAGUAUAGCAGUCAUUUCUCUGUGGGUCCUGCUUGUCCAGUUUAUACAGCAUACUGCCAAGCAGUCCGGGCAAGAGCAGUUUCUUGCCUAAAUGAUUAGCCUUGUCACAUUAAAGGCAAAUUCCAUAAUGAGUUUUUUUCAAUACCCAUCAACCUCUCUGAAGUAAUUGGUGCUGCCAGAAGCAGACAUGCCUCACUAUCAUGAAAAGUCCUAAGUUCUUAAAACAUUUUAAAUGCCAUAUUCUGUAUGUCUUUGAAAGAUUUCAAGAAUAUCUAUCUAUCUGAAAUAUAGCUCUGUACAUCUAGAAAACCUAACAUGACUACAAGCUUGACUAUUAUAGAUACCUAUCUAUUAACCUCUGUUUCUUAAUUAUACGUUACAUUUUUAAAUGAGCUACACAAACAAAAUACCUUAAUCAAGAGCAGAAAUAUACAUAUAACAAAAUUGAACUAAAAUUUGUAUCAAUAAACCAAGAUCCAUACCAAUGCAAAGUAUUCAUCUCUAUAGCAUAUCUUCCUUUAAAUGUAAACAAACAAACAUAAACAAUCAUUCAGAAAAUUUGGGUGUUGUUCUCUAGACUACUUCCUGAUUGGGGGCACUGUUAAUCAGGUCUUUCAUGGGGUAUCCUGUGUGGUGGGUCCAUCUCAGCCAGCAGUCCUGAAGCUGUAAUGGAUGUUGGACCAUCCGGCUAUUGCUUCAGUGGGUCUUGUUUGAUCAAGCCACAUUAGCCGGUAAGGAAUCCACAGCUUUAUGUCCUCUGUGGAAACAAAAACAGAACCUCUUUUCCAAAGCAACGUAUCCUUAGACCCAAAUUUUGAAGCCAAGAUACCUUUAAAAUAUAUAUGUUAGUUUAGCUUAGCAGUCCAUACAAUGAAAUGUCUCUCUGAACUUAGCUCAUUCAUAGUCAAAAAAUUCAUAUACAUAAUCCAGACUCUCUGUGUAUUUUUAUGUUUAUGUAGCUUAUUUUUCUUUACUCCUUUAUUCUAUGACUAUCUGUAUUCUUUAUAUUACUUUUACUGUCUCUUUAAAGACUUUGUUUUAAUUUUUUAAAACCAUUUACUUUAUUUUUAUAACUAUUUUUUAAUCUCUCUCUCAAGCCUAUGUACAUUUUUUAAACACACUGUGACCCAUUUAGAGGUUUAUUUUUAUGUGAAUCUGUCUUUAUUGCGUAUAUGUAAUCAUUUUCUGAUCAGGUACACUUUGUUUUUUUAAUGCUAAGAGGGUGUGGCUAGGACCAACUCCAUGGCCCUGCCUUUUGGCUCUGCCCAGUCCAACAUGGCAGAGGCAUGUUCACUGCCUCUGAGAGCCAUGCUCACUGCCCCAGAUCCAGGGUGAUAGAGGAUCUAUAUCGCUAUUAAGCAAUUUGUAACCCAUUGCUCACAGACCCCAUUUAAGUGCUUGGCCUCUUGAAAGAGCCAGAGCUUAUGCAACUAGCACAAACCAGGAAGCCCUCCCCUAAAGAAGCCUGCAGCCUUUGCGGCCAUGGCUGAGUCAGGAAGACCUCUCUCAAAGGAGGCAUACUUCUGCCUGCUGCCAGCAAACAGAGUCCACACCCCUCCCCCCCAAAAUGCAGCUACCAAAAAGCUUCGCUAAACUGCCAAACUUGUGUUUAUUCGUGUCUAGAAUUGCUUUUCAAGUUUUCUCAGGUUUUAUGUGGCUGUAGUCAGCCCACAUUGGCACUCCAAUUUGUAAACGGAGGCUCUUGUUUGUUUCCUGGCCACCCAGACCUGAAUAAUAUCCCAGAAACUAUAUUAAUUAAAACACUGCUUGGCCUAUUAGUUCAGGCUUCUUAUUAACUAACUCUUCCAUCUUAAAUUAACCUACUCCUAUUAUUUUAUAUUUUACCACGAGGCUCAUAGUUUACCCAUAAGGUCCUGACAGGCAUCUUUCUCCUUUCGUGGCUACAUGGCGUCUCUCUGACUCCGCCUUCUUUCUCCCAGAGUUCAGUCUAGUUUUCCCACCUAGCUCUAUUCUGCCCUGCUAUAGGCUGAAGCAGCCUCUUUAUUAACCAAUGAUAAUAAAACAUAUUCACAGCAUACAGAGGGGAAUCUCACAUCAUAAGAUGAACUUCUAUUAUUCAGAGAAAACUGGAUGUGGUGAGCAGAACUGUAAUCCCAGCACCACACCCAGGAGCAAGGAGAUGGGAGGGUUGCUAUGUGUCCAAAGCUAGCCUGGGCUAAUAUACAUAGUUCUAAGCCAGCCAGGCAUUCAUAGACCCUGUCUCCAAAUUUAUUAAUUAUAAAUUUUAAAGCCAGAGGCCAUGAAGGACAGCAGGCAUUAUUCACAAGCCAGCAUCCUCACCUCGGGCUGCAGGCUGGGUUUUGAGGUCUGGCCAGUCCCAUGGGACAGAGUUCUUUGAAAUGGCAGGAUUGGCCAAACCGAGUAAAUAAAUUUCAAAGCUUGAGCCUGAAGUUAUUUUAUUCUUCUACCUGUUCCUCGGAAAUAGACUCUCUGGAGACUUCUGAAGCUGGGGCUCCCUCAAGGGAGUUCGUGGACUUUCUCAGAAUAGUCCACACCCAGACACCGCCAUGUUAGCUCUGACCACCUAGGGAUUAAUCAGCAGAGCCACCAGGCUGUUACCCAGCAAGCAGGGUGCUUCAAACCCAGGUGAUCAACAGCAGUGGCUAGAGGAUCUAUUUCUCCUCCUCUUCGUCCCCAGGGAUGGCUGCCUGGCACCGUGAACUCUGCCAGCUUUCUGUGGGCGCCUUGAGGAGAAAGCCCACAGAGAACUGGGAUUGGGGGUGCGGGGAGAAGCAGGUCCCGAAGUGAGCUCUGAGGAGAAGACAGAGAGGCCUCAGUCUCAUUUCUCUCUGAGUCUUGGCUCACCUCAGCAUAUUAGAGAUCGAUGCUGUUGUAACUGAUGCAGACUGUGCAAGGGCUGGUUCCAGACAGGCACAAGCUCAUUUAAUCCUCAUAACUCCCAGAAGAACCAGGCCUUCUAUCUGGGCUUCCAGAUGAGAGGAGGGAGAUGAGGAGAAGUAAGAUUGCUCUUCAGGAUUGCCUAGCUGUGGGGGAGCUAGAGCUGGCACCUAGGGCGUGAGCUCUGCCAAACUUUCUACUUUCUCAGUGGACACAGCAGCAGCGUUUACAGAGUCCCUGCUAUGGGCCAGGCGGUUACGGGAACCCUGUCGCUGGUCCGCUAGUCAAUGAAAAGGAGCAGUUUGGUCCAAAGGGCGGAGUACAAGACACAAAAGAGAAGACGGAACCCAGGUCUGCCCCUCUGGGACAAGGAGGGUGAGCAGAGCAGCGGCAAGGCAGCUGGUGACCCGUUUCGGAUUCCCCGUUCUUUCUUGUGAUUGCUGUGCACGGAUUUUGCUCGAUAAUAAACGGUACAGCAAUCCUCUGGCUCCCUUCAUCGCCGGUACUGUGCUGAAUACUUUCCGUCUGUCUUGAGUCUUGGAGGUACCCUUUCCUCAACCGCUCUUUACCAAGUCACCGACAUCAGACGUGUGGCUGUGAGGCUGUGCAGUACACAACAGGUUCUGGGGUGUGGCAGAAACAUGCGUGUCUAUUCCAGACUGAGACAGGAUGGGCCUCUUGUCACGUACAUGACACCGUUACUUGUUAUGUACAUAACACCGUCACUUGUCAUGUAUGUGACACCAUCUUGGGCUGCUCAUAAAGUUCUUCCAAUGCCACUUCCAAACAAGCCCUAAAGCCUAGCUCUCGUCACCCCAACCUAUCCCAGUUCAGCUGCCACCAUUCGACAGCAAGAUCAGGUGCUGGGCUCUGGGCUCUGUUCUCCCUUCCCUCCCCAGCAGCCCUGACCCCAGCUUUGCCUGGCUCCUUACCAAGGCUCUCUUUGUUAGGGAAGGGCAAGCAGCUGGCCCUGGAGUGGCAUAGACUUUCCAAAGGCUCAGAGGCUACCCCCACCGCCUCCUCAGUUGGCUCACCCACAGGGGCAGUGUUCCGCUCUAACCACCAGGACCAGCUACCAACUCUGUAGUCCCUGUGCCUGUUGAAACGGUGCAAAUAGGUCAGGCCUUACCCAUCUCCAGCACCUCCCUCCUGUUCCCAAGGAGACCACACUAGAGAAUCCUGCCUCCUGACUGCUGAGGCGGUUCUCUGGGUGCCCUCCCAGGCCAUGACGUUCACCCUUCUCUGGAGAUCUGUAAGAAGUUCUUUUAGUGGACGAUGCCUUGGUCUGUGGCCUUGGUCAAGUUAAGCAAUAGUGUAGCCACUAUUUAUAUUUUCCGUGCGUAUGUGGUUAUAAGCCUAGCUACGUGUGGGCACUCCUGUGUCCACAUGUAUGUGGAGACCCAAGGCUGACACUGGGUGUCUUCCUCAGCGACUCUUCACUUUAUUCGUUGAGGCAAGGCCUCUCAAUCGUACCCAGAGCUAACCUGUCUGGCUAGUCUAGCUAUCCAGCUUGCUCCGGUUUUCCUCCGUCUCUUCCUGGAGUUGCAGGUGGGCUGCCACACCCAGCCGGUAUUUACAUACUUGUGUAGCAAGCUCUUCAUCCACGGAGCCAUCUCCCCAGCAGCCCCUGUAGCCAAUAUUUUAAAGCCAACCCCCAGUAGCUUCCUUCAGACUUAGAAUAAAAUCCAGCCAAACUGGGUAUGAUGGCACACACCUAUGAUCCCCCCCACACACACACACACGGGUUGCUGAGGCAGGAGGAUUACUAUGAGUCCAAGCCUAGCCUGGGUUUCUCGCAAGGCUGUCUUAGGCUACUCUUCUCAUCCCUGUGACAGAAUAGCAGACUAAAGAGACUUAGUGAAGGAACGCUUUGUUAUGACUCACAUGGGAAGGAGGCCACUUCACUACUGCAUGCACUGUCGUGGGUGUGGGGGAACGCCGAGGAGCACCGUGGGGGCGGGCAGGAGAGAUGAGGGUGCCGAAGUGAAGCGAUGAGAGCAGUGUGAAAUUGUAAGAAAGCAGAGAGGAGACCGGGUGCGUGCCUGCCAGGGGCUAGCAGUCUCUGCACGUGGAAGAGGAACUGAUCUUGCUGGCAGGAGGACAUUGGUCCACACAUGGGAAGCGUUCAGGGCUUUGGACAAGGGCUGCUACCUUUGUGUCAAAGCGGCCCCAGAGGGUAAGUAAGGACUAAUGGCUUGCUUGGUAACCUCUCUGCUCCCAACCUGUUCGGCAUCUCUCCCCAUCCCUAAACACAUGAGAGUUUCGUGCCUCCAGGCCUCCUUAGGCUUGGCAGGAAGGCAAGCCUCUGCCAGGCUUUUGAUGGCAUCCUUGAUAACAGGGCUGGGAGCCAGAAAGAGAAGCCAGGAGUGGGAAUUGGGCCCUGCCUUGGCCUCUGGCUUCUCUGAACUGGCUCUGUCUUCACCAGCCGAUUCUGGUGAGAGAUUCUGGGAAGCAGGAUGUUGCUGAGGCCAAGUAAACUCUCAAAGGCCUGGAAGGAGUCAGGAAGCAAAGGGCAGGAUGCCCUGCCUGCCCAGCUUCUCUCUGCCUUGUAGAAAAGGUCUCUGAUUGCUCUUCUCCAGGGCUCUGUGGUCCUUGCUACUCCCAGCCACUCUGGUGAUCAACAUUUACGAUGUUGCUCUCCCCAAACCCUGGGAUGAUGGUGGGAGGGAAGUUCUCUCUCUGGUGGUCCAGAGGGGAUUGGCUUUAAGCUGCAGAGGCAAUCUUUCCGGGUAUUGGAAUUGUUCUACAAACAAUGCGGGUUGGGGCACUGCAUCGUGAAGAUGACUCCGGUUCAGAGCCCUCAGUGGCCCCAGGUUGGGCUCCCAGAGCCUGCAGAUCACAAAGGCCUGUAACCCCAGUUUCAGGGGAUCUGAUGCCCUCUUCUGGACACUGUAGGUACAAGGCACUCACGUGGUGCACUUUACAUACCUGUAGCCAAAACACCCCGUGCACAUAAAAUAAAAUAAACCUUUUUAAAAAUCG